Long non-coding RNA from Pipistrellus kuhlii (Kuhl's pipistrelle), 1869 nucleotides. RefSeq lists it as uncharacterized. The record is from RefSeq and is a predicted model, not a curated record. The transcript has 2 exons. NCBI's taxonomy places the organism in Eukaryota, Metazoa, Chordata, Mammalia, Chiroptera, Vespertilionidae.
ACCACCUGGGAGGAAGGGGUGAGGGGUCAGGGCUAAAGGGCGGGUUAGGGCCAGGAACAUGGAGUCCUAUCUUCUCAGUGGGGAGGUUGGAAGGAUAAACAGACUCACUGGCCCAUCCCUGCCCCCGGGGCGGGGGCGCCAGCUCUGGGGUCUCCCUAAGUCCUUGCCUUCUGCCCCGGCUGCAAACAAUGCUCACCCACUUCUUGUCUGCCCUGGGACCCUCAUUUGCAAUCUGACUUGGGUGUGCCUAGUCUUCACGUCCCAAUCUUACCCAUGAUUGUAUUCUGGGCUGUGCCAGCCCCUGACCAUGACCCCAGGCCUGUGACUGGACCCAGGAUUCCUGCCAUUAGCUUCACAGGCCCCUGUUCCAUGCACUUAGGUCUGGACUCCGGCAAACAGAGCCUCAAAUGAUCACCGAGCAGCCCACACACAGACUGAGCCCGUCCUGGGAGCCGAGAUGCUCCCUGGGUGCCCCGUGGAGGUGCCCCAGGGGCUCGGGCUCCUGCAGAAGCACAGCCCUGGCCCCAGAGAUCCCCUCAGAGACAUGCCAGCCCAGCAAUCCAGCCCUAACGGUGGCCUUCGGGACUCCUCACCUCAGCAGAGGCAGGCCAGGCAGGGCUUUUCCUGCCCAUUGCACAAGGGGAAACUGAGGCCCAGACAGUAAACCACUUGCCUGAGUUUCGCACUGCAUUUGUGGAAGAGUCGGGGCUCUGCCAGGCUCUCUCCUCCGGCUCUCACGGCAGGGACAAGCACCUCUGCUGGACCUGCUCUGGCUCCUGAGCCCCUCCCAGAUGCCCUCUCUGGGUUGGCCUCACUCAUGCUCUUGGCCCUGAGGUGCCCCCUGUCCCCUGGACUUGAUGACAGCAGGAGAGCUGACUACCAGGAUGGGGCGGGUCCCCACCUUGAGGAUAUAGUGGUCCAGCUCUUCUCUGUCCAGGGGCCUCGCCACGAACACUUCGCCGAUGGAGUCAUUGGUGGUGAUGAUCUCGAAGGCCCCAGCGAUGUUGCCCGAGGCCAGAGAGAAGACCACCUGUGAGGGAGGAGAGAGGCUCGAGGUGAGGAAGCGAGUCCCUGCUUCCUGCUCAGGGAUGGGGUGGCUUGGAGGGUGUAUGGGAACCCCCGGCUGAGAGAGCUGACCCGGGCUAUUUCGCUCCAUGCCCACCUGCCCGUUGCUGCCGGCAUCAGGGUCCGAGGCCUUGACAGUGGCCACACGCUGGCCCACGGGGCAGUCCUCGGGCACGCUGACCGCCGAGUCAGAGGUGACGUCAAACCGAGGGCUGUUGUCGUUCUCAUCCAGCACGGUGAUGUAGACCUGGGGGCGGACGUUACUAGAGACCUAUCGCCUCCAUCAUCUCCCAGCCCCACACACCAGGGGCCCACCGUGGGCCACGGGGGACCAGACCUCCGCUCGGCCUGGCACGUCAGCUGGCUUUCAGAGCCCGCCCAGGCCGCUCCUGACUGCCCACGAAGGCCCUGAGCACCCUUUCCCUAGGAGUCUGGUGCGGGAGGGCGGCUCAUCCCAAGUGCUGAGGCUGGGACGGCAGGGAAGGGGCUGGGAGAUCUGGAAGGGAGGACGGGGCUACUCAGCCCCAAACCACCAGGGAGUGGCAGGCUGGCCCUGGCACCGCUUCCUGUUUUCCAAGAGGAACUCGGCAUGCAGAUUUUGUGUGUGGAAUGCGGUGGGGUAAUUAAUAAAAAGGAAAGGAAAAACGAUGUGCAGGCUGACUACAACACAUCUGGCAGCCAGAGACGGCCUGAAGGCCUCUUCGUCAGCACAUCUGGAUCAGAGGGAGAGAAACGGGGCUCAGAAGGAGGGGGGCUGAAGGUGGCGUGGUGGUCCCUGUGGGAAGGGGUCGAGGGGGGCGGGGG